This 445-nucleotide ribosomal RNA is filed under the name uncultured bacterium. RNAcentral describes it as "bacterial SSU rRNA". It matches the Rfam family "Bacterial small subunit ribosomal RNA", at positions 330 to 792 of the family's 1533-position model. The record is from RNAcentral.
UCCAGACUCCUACGGGAGGCAGCAGUAGGGAAUCUUCGGCAAUGGACGAAAGUCUGACCGAGCAACGCCGCGUGAGUGAAGAAGUAUUUCGGUAUGUAAAGCUCUAUCAGCAGGGAAGAAGAUGACGGUACCUGAUUAAGAAGCCCCGGCUAACUACGUGCCAGCAGCCGCGGUAAUACGUAGGGGGCAAGCGUUGUCCGGAUUUACUGGGUGUAAAGGGAGCGCAGACGGCAGUGCAAGUCUGGAGUGAAAGCCCGGGGCCCAACCCCGGAACUGCUCUGGAAACUGUGCGGCUAGAGUACUGGAGGGGCAGGCGGAAUUCCUAGUGUAGCGGUGAAAUGCGUAGAUAUUAGGAGGAACACCAGUGGCGAAGGCGGCCUGCUGGACAGUAACUGACGUUGAGGCUCGAAAGCGUGGGGAGCAAACAGGAUUAGAUACCCCAGUA